This 1470-nucleotide ribosomal RNA is filed under the name metagenome. Its description in RNAcentral is "bacterial SSU rRNA". It matches the Rfam family "Bacterial small subunit ribosomal RNA". The record is from RNAcentral.
AGAGUUUGAUCAUGGCUCAGGACGAACGCUGGCGGCACGCUUAACACAUGCAAGUCGAACGAGAGAAGAGGAGCUUGCUUUUCUGAUCUAGUGGCGGACGGGUGAGUAACACGUGAGCAAUCUGCCUUUCAGAGGGGGAUACCGAUUGGAAACGAUCGUUAAUACCGCAUAACAUAAUUGAACCGCAUGAUUUGAUUAUCAAAGAUUUAUCGCUGAAAGAUGAGCUCGCGUCUGAUUAGCUAGUUGGUAAGGUAACGGCUUACCAAGGCGACGAUCAGUAGCCGGACUGAGAGGUUGAUCGGCCACAUUGGGACUGAGACACGGCCCAGACUCCUACGGGAGGCAGCAGUGGGGAAUAUUGCACAAUGGAGGAAACUCUGAUGCAGCGAUGCCGCGUGAGGGAAGAAGGUUCUAGGAUUGUAAACCUCUGUCUUCAGGGACGAAAAAAGACGGUACCUGAGGAGGAAGCUCCGGCUAACUACGUGCCAGCAGCCGCGGUAAUACGUAGGGAGCGAGCGUUGUCCGGAAUUACUGGGUGUAAAGGGAGCGUAGGCGGGAUCGCAAGUCAGAUGUGAAAACUAUGGGCUUAACCCAUAAACUGCAUUUGAAACUGUGGUUCUUGAGUGAAGUAGAGGUAAGCGGAAUUCCUAGUGUAGCGGUGAAAUGCGUAGAUAUUAGGAGGAACAUCAGUGGCGAAGGCGGUUUACUGGGCUUUAACUGACGCUGAGGCUCGAAAGCGUGGGGAGCAAACAGGAUUAGAUACCCUGGUAGUCCACGCCGUAAACGAUGAUUACUAGGUGUGGGGGGACUGACCCCUUCCGUGCCGCAGCAAGCGCAAUAAGUAAUCCACCUGGGGAGUACGACCGCAAGGUUGAAACUCAAAGGAAUUGACGGGGGCCCGCACAAGCAGUGGAGUAUGUGGAUUAAUUCGAAGCAACGCGAAGAACCUUACCAGGUCUUGACAUCGUAUGCAUAGCUCAGAGAUGAGUGAAAUCUCUUCGGAGACAUAUAGACAGGUGGUGCAUGGUUGUCGUCAGCUCGUGUCGUGAGAUGUUGGGUUAAGUCCCGCAACGAGCGCAACCCUUACUGUUAGUUGCUACGCAAGAGCACUCUAGCAGGACUGCCGUUGACAAAACGGAGGAAGGUGGGGAUGACGUCAAAUCAUCAUGCCCCUUAUGACCUGGGCCUCACACGUACUACAAUGGCUGUCAACAGAGGGAAGCAAAGCCGCGAGGUGGAGCGAACCCCUAAAAGCAGUCUUAGUUCGGAUUGUAGGCUGCAACCCGCCUACAUGAAGUCGGAAUUGCUAGUAAUCGCAGAUCAGCAUGCUGCGGUGAAUACGUUCCCGGGCCUUGUACACACCGCCCGUCACGCCAUGGGAGUCGGUAACACCCGAAGCCUGUAGUCUAACCGCAAGGAGGACGCAGUCGAAGGUGGGAUUGAUGACUGGGGUGAAGUCGUAACAAGGUA